This 45-nucleotide non-coding RNA is filed under the name Trichobilharzia regenti. The record is from RNAcentral. Lineage: Eukaryota; Metazoa; Platyhelminthes; Trematoda; Strigeidida; Schistosomatidae.
AUCCGACUGAUGAGUCAGAAAUAGGACGAAAUGCGCAUCAUGGAU